AUGUCAGCAAGACCUCUAUCAGGUUCAAAGUUCCUAGAUAGGCCGUUUCAGCAUGCUUGUAGGAGAUGCUGGUUCUGUAGCAGAUGCCUGGUUUUUUAUGCCGUUUUGAUGCCAGAUAGGCCGACAUUACUCUUUUUUCCUCCAUUCGGUUGCACCUACCAUCUCAAUAUCAUCAUCCACUGCUUGCCUGGACCAACGCCCAGCUGCCACCACUUCAGUGCGCCGUGCCGACCUGUGCGUGCAUGGCAGCAUGGGUCGUCGACAUUGUUGAAAAUUUCUGAAGGUUUUUCCUGGUGCGUGCAGGUGGUGUCGACGGAGGCCCGGGCGAUGCACAAUGUGGGGUUGGCAGGGUUGACCUUCUGGAGCCCCAACAUCAACAUCUUCCGGGACCCGCGGUGGGGCCGGGGCCAGGAGACGCCCGGCGAGGACCCGCUGCUGGCCAGCAAGUACGCCGUCGGAUACAUCACGGGCUCCAGGACGCCGGCGCCGGCGGCGUCACCGACGGCGCGCUCAAGGUCGCCGCAUGCUGCAAGCACUACACUGCCUACGACGUCGACAACUGGAAGGGCAUCGAGCGAUACACCUUCAACGCAAAGUUUGUUUCCAGCGACAGCAGAGAGAUGUACUCCAGCAGAGGAUCAAAUGAUCAGAGAGAGGAGAUGA
Molecule: ribosomal RNA, 663 nt
Filed under: Triticum aestivum (bread wheat)
Lineage: Eukaryota; Viridiplantae; Streptophyta; Magnoliopsida; Poales; Poaceae
Description: partial small subunit ribosomal RNA
Source: RNAcentral